CACUAUCGUUAACUGAAUACAUAGGUUAACGAGGCGAACCGGGGGAACUGAAACAUCUAAGUACCCCGAGGAAAAGAAAUCAACCGAGAUUCCCCCAGUAGCGGCGAGCGAACGGGGAGCAGCCCAGAGUCUGAAUCAGCUUGUGUGUUAGUGGAACGGUCUGGAAAGUCCGACGGUACAGGGUGAUAGUCCCGUACACCAAAAUGCACAGGCUGUGAACUCGAAGAGUAGGGCGGGACACGUGGUAUCCUGUCUGAAUAUGGGGGGACCAUCCUCCAAGGCUAAAUACUCCUGACUGACCGAUAGUGAACCAGUACCGUGAGGGAAAGGCGAAAAGAACCCCGGCGAGGGGAGUGAAAAAGAACCUGAAACCGUGUACGUACAAGCAGUGGGAGCACCUUCGGGUGUGACUGCGUACCUUUUGUAUAAUGGGUCAGCGACUUAUAUUCUGUAGCAAGGUUAACCGUAUAGGGGAGCCGCAGGGAAACCGAGUCUUAACUGGGCGUUAAGUUGCAGGGUAUAGACCCGAAACCCGGUGAUCUAGCCAUGGGCAGGUUGAAGGUUGGGUAACACUAACUGGAGGACCGAACCGACUAAUGUUGAAAAAUUAGCGGAUGACUUGUGGCUGGGGGUGAAAGGCCAAUCAAACCGGGAGAUAGCUGGUUCUCCCCGAAAGCUAUUUAGGUAGCGCCUCGUGAACUCAUCUUCGGGGGUAGAGCACUGUUUCGGCUAGGGGGUCAUCCCGACUUACCAACCCGAUGCAAACUACGAAUACCGAAGAAUGUUAUCACGGGAGACACACGGCGGGUGCUAACGUCCGUCGUGAAGAGGGAAACAACCCAGACCGCCAGCUAAGGUCCCAAAGUCAUGGUUAAGUGGGAAACGAUGUGGGAAGGCACAGACAGCCAGGAUGUUGGCUUAGAAGCAGCCAUCAUUUAAAGAAAGCGUAAUAGCUCACUGGUCGAGUCGGCCUGCGCGGAAGAUGUAACGGGGCUAAACCAUGCACCGAAGCUGCGGCAGCGACACUAUGUGUUGUUGGGUAGGGGAGCGUUCUGUAAGCCUGCGAAGGUGNUGCUGGAGGUAUCAGAAGUGCGAAUGCUGACAUAAGUAACGAUAAAGCGGGUGAAAAGCCCGCUCGCCGGAAGACCAAGGGUUCCUGUCCAACGUUAAUCGGGGCAGGGUGAGUCGACCCCUAAGGCGAGGCCGAAAGGCGUAGUCGAUGGGAAACAGGUUAAUAUUCCUGUACUUGGUGUUACUGCGAAGGGGGGACGGAGAAGGCUAUGUUAGCCGGGCGACGGUUGUCCCGGUUUAAGCAUGUAGGCUGGUUGUCCAGGCAAAUCCGGAUAAUCAAGGCUGAGGUGUGAUGACGAGGCACUACGGUGCUGAAGUAACAAAUGCCCUGCUUCCAGGAAAAGCCUCUAAGCAUCAGGUAACAUCAAAUCGUACCCCAAACCGACACAGGUGGUCAGGUAGAGAAUACCAAGGCGCUUGAGAGAACUCGGGUGAAGGAACUAGGCAAAAUGGUGCCGUAACUUCGGGAGAAGGCACGCUGGUGUGUAGGUGAAGUCCCUGCGGAUGGAGCUGAGACCAGUCGAAGAUACCAGCUGGCUGCAACUGUUUAUUAAAAACACAGCACUGUGCAAACACGAAAGUGGACGUAUACGGUGUGACGCCUGCCCGGUGCCGGAAGGUUAAUUGAUGGGGUUAUCCGUAAGGAGAAGCUCUUGAUCGAAGCCCCGGUAAACGGCGGCCGUAACUAUAACGGUCCUAAGGUAGCGAAAUUCCUUGUCGGGUAAGUUCCGACCUGCACGAAUGGCGUAAUGAUGGCCAGGCUGUCUCCACCCGAGACUCAGUGAAAUUGAACUCGCUGUGAAGAUGCAGUGUACCCGCGGCAAGACGGAAAGACCCCGUGAACCUUUACUAUAGCUUGACACUGAACAUUGAGCCUUGAUGUGUAGGAUAGGUGGGAGGCUUUGAAGCGUGGACGCCAGUCUGCGUGGAGCCAACCUUGAAAUACCACCCUUUAAUGUUUGAUGUUCUAACGUUGGCCCCUUACCGGGGUUGCGGACAGUGUCUGGUGGGUAGUUUGACUGGGGCGGUCUCCUCCCAAAGCGUAACGGAGGAGCACGAAGGUUAGCUAAUCCUGGUCGGACAUCAGGAGGUUAGUGCAAUGGCAUAAGCUAGCUUGACUGCGAGCGUGACGGCGCGAGCAGGUGCGAAAGCAGGUCAUAGUGAUCCGGUGGUUCUGAAUGGAAGGGCCAUCGCUCAACGGAUAAAAGGUACUCCGGGGAUAACAGGCUGAUACCGCCCAAGAGUUCAUAUCGACGGCGGUGUUUGGCACCUCGAUGUCGGCUCAUCACAUCCUGGGGCUGAAGUAGGUCCCAAGGGUAUGGCUGUUCGCCAUUUAAAGUGGUACGCGAGCUGGGUUUAGAACGUCGUGAGACAGUUCGGUCCCUAUCUGCCGUGGGCGCUGGAGAAUUGAGGGGGGCUGCUCCUAGUACGAGAGGACCGGAGUGGACGCAUCACUGGUGUUCGGGUUGUCAUGCCAAUGGCACUGCCCGGUAGCUAAAUGCGGAAGAGAUAAGUGCUGAAAGCAUCUAAGCACGAAACUUGCCCCGAGAUGAGUUCUCCCUGAGACUAUAAGUCUCCUGAAGGAACGUUGAAGACGACGACGUUGAUAGGCCGGGUGUGUAAGCGCAGCGAUGCGUUGAGCUAACCGGUACUAAUGAACCGUGAGGCUUAACCUU
RNAcentral lists this ribosomal RNA (2747 nucleotides) under Klebsiella pneumoniae. RNAcentral's name for it is "bacterial LSU rRNA". It matches the Rfam family "Bacterial large subunit ribosomal RNA". The record is from RNAcentral. Lineage: Bacteria; Pseudomonadati; Pseudomonadota; Gammaproteobacteria; Enterobacterales; Enterobacteriaceae.